Apodemus sylvaticus (European woodmouse) is the source of this 132-nucleotide small nucleolar RNA. RefSeq annotates it as small nucleolar RNA SNORA17. The record is from RefSeq and is a predicted model, not a curated record. Lineage: Eukaryota; Metazoa; Chordata; Mammalia; Rodentia; Muridae. The transcript has a single exon.
CCUGCCAUUAGAGGCCUUGAAAGUGUGGCUGCUGUGCCACAUGUGCUUGAAUAGGUGACAGAGAAGAAAGAGGUUAUGUCUGUGCUCGGUAUUCUGACCUAUGAAUAUCUGAAUAAUUGCUAGCCUAACUAG